Long non-coding RNA from Aplysia californica (California sea hare), 489 nucleotides. RefSeq lists it as uncharacterized. The transcript has 2 exons. Lineage: Eukaryota; Metazoa; Mollusca; Gastropoda; Aplysiida; Aplysiidae. The record is from RefSeq and is a predicted model, not a curated record.
CUUGUAGCUUCUCGUUAACUGGACAUUUCAUUAAGUAGUGGUAGUGAAAAUUGGAAGGAACUUUUGAAACUAUAGAACAGAAAGAAAAAUAAUAAUCUUCAAUAAAACGAACGACACUGAAAGAUUUUUGAAAGCACACAGUAACAAGAAACUUUCGUAAACUGACAAACUAACUUACGCAACAGAAUUGAAAAUUCCCCAUCAAAUAAAAAAGCAAUAGAAAACUGUAAGCCGAAGCACUGAAAAGUCUAAAAGAGUCAUCCAAACUGGUCGUUGAUCACCACAGACCUCAGCACAUCAUUCAGACGGAGAGUGUUGUGCAAAGAAAAGCAAUCUUCCGCAGAGUACACGCAAGUGGGUUGUGAAAAAGGAUAAAAUUUUCAACCAGCCGACUCCGGAAGGCUCGCCUCCUGAUAUUGUUCCAUGUAUUUCCUAUUUUAUACACGUACCUCCAGUACUCUAACUCUCCACCAAGUUCCCCCACUGUAG